RNAcentral lists this ribosomal RNA (505 nucleotides) under uncultured bacterium. RNAcentral describes it as "partial 16S ribosomal RNA". It matches the Rfam family "Bacterial small subunit ribosomal RNA", at positions 29 to 523 of the family's 1533-position model. The record is from RNAcentral.
AGUGAACGCUGGCGGUAGGCCUAACACAUGCAAGUCGAACGGCAGCACAGGAGAGCUUGCUCUCUGGGUGGCGAGUGGCGGACGGGUGAGGAAUACAUCGGAAUCUACUCUGUCGUGGGGGAUAACGUAGGGAAACUUACGCUAAUACCGCAUACGACCUACGGGUGAAAGCAGGGGACCUUCGGGCCUUGCGCGAUUGAAUGAGCCGAUGUCGGAUUAGCUAGUUGGCGGGGUAAAGGCCCACCAAGGCGACGAUCCGUAGCUGGGCGGAGAGGACGAUCAGCCACACUGGAACUGAGACACGGUCCAGACUCCUACGGGAGGCAGCAGUGGGGAAUAUUGGACAAUGGGCGCAAGCCUGAUCCAGCCAUACCGCGUGGGUGAAGAAGGCCUUCGGGUUGUAAAGCCCUUUUGUUGGGAAAGAAAUCCAGCUGCUAAUACCCGGUUGGGAUGACGGUACCCAAAGAAUAAGCACCGGCUAACUUCGUGCCAGCCGCCGCAGUAA